Molecule: ribosomal RNA, 348 nt
Filed under: uncultured bacterium
Lineage: Bacteria
Description: bacterial SSU rRNA
Rfam family: Bacterial small subunit ribosomal RNA
Source: RNAcentral
AUUGAACGCUGGCGGCAUGCCUUACACAUGCAAGUCGAACGGCAGCGGACCUUCGGUGCCGGCGAGUGGCGAACGGGUGAGUAAUAUAUCGGAACGUACCUUUCAGUGGGGGAGUAACGUAGCGAAAGUUACGCUAAUACCGCAUAUUCUGUGAGCAGGAAAGCAGGGGAUCGCAAGACCUUGCGCUGAUUGAGCGGCCGAUAUCAGAUUAGCUAGUUGGUGAGGUAAAGGCUCACCAAGGCGACGAUCUGUAGCGGGUCUGAGAGGAUGAUCCGCCACACUGGAACUGAGACACGGUCCAGACUCCUACGGGAGGCAGCAGUGGGGAAUUUUGACAAUGGCGGCAAG